GAUCUUUUCGCUCAUGAACAACACAUGGACUGACGAGAGGAACCGCAUGACCAUUCCCACAACCAUUCCCAACUU
Sander lucioperca (pikeperch) is the source of this 75-nucleotide long non-coding RNA. RefSeq lists it as uncharacterized. NCBI's taxonomy places the organism in Eukaryota, Metazoa, Chordata, Actinopteri, Perciformes, Percidae. The record is from RefSeq and is a predicted model, not a curated record. The transcript is spliced from 3 exons.